AUUAGUGGCGAACGGGUGAGUAACACGUGGGCAAUCUGCCCUGCACUCUGGGACAAGCCCUGGAAACGGGGUCUAAUACCGGAUAUCACUCUUGCAGGCAUCUGUGAGGGUCGAAAGCUCCGGCGGUGCAGGAUGAGCCCGCGGCCUAUCAGCUUGUUGGUGAGGUAAUGGCUCACCAAGGCGACGACGGGUAGCCGGCCUGAGAGGGCGACCGGCCACACUGGGACUGAGACACGGCCCAGACUCCUACGGGAGGCAGCAGUGGGGAAUAUUGCACAAUGGGCGAAAGCCUGAUGCAGCGACGCCGCGUGAGGGAUGACGGCCUUCGGGUUGUAAACCUCUUUCAGCAGGGAAGAAGCGAAAGUGACGGUACCUGCAGAAGAAGCGCCGGCUAACUACGUGCCAGCAGCCGCGGUAAUACGUAGGGCGCAAGCGUUGUCCGGAAUUAUUGGGCGUAAAGAGCUCGUAGGCGGCUUGUCACGUCGGGUGUGAAAGCCCGGGGCUUAACCCCGGGUCUGCAUUCGAUACGGGCUAGCUAGAGUGUGGUAGGGGAGAUCGGAAUUCCUGGUGUAGCGGUGAAAUGCGCAGAUAUCAGGAGGAACACCGGUGGCGAAGGCGGAUCUCUGGGCCAUUACUGACGCUGAGGAGCGAAAGCGUGGGGAGCGAACAGGAUUAGAUACCCUGGUAGUCCACGCCGUAAACGGUGGGAACUAGGUGUUGGCGACAUUCCACGUCGUCGGUGCCGCAGCUAACGCAUUAAGUUCCCCGCCUGGGGAGUACGGCCGCAAGGCUAAAACUCAAA
RNAcentral lists this ribosomal RNA (802 nucleotides) under Streptomyces antibioticus. Its description in RNAcentral is "bacterial SSU rRNA". It matches the Rfam family "Bacterial small subunit ribosomal RNA", at positions 91 to 905 of the family's 1533-position model. Lineage: Bacteria; Bacillati; Actinomycetota; Actinomycetes; Kitasatosporales; Streptomycetaceae. The record is from RNAcentral.